Long non-coding RNA from Piliocolobus tephrosceles (Ugandan red Colobus), 1112 nucleotides. RefSeq lists it as uncharacterized. The transcript is spliced from 7 exons. The record is from RefSeq and is a predicted model, not a curated record. NCBI's taxonomy places the organism in Eukaryota, Metazoa, Chordata, Mammalia, Primates, Cercopithecidae.
CCCUCCUCGCCCGGCGCCUCACUCACCAAGGGCCGCGCCGGGGUUCUGCACUGUCACUGCGGUGCGGCUCCCCGCCUUAGGAAUUCUCACACGGUUCCAGGGUUCCCGGCCCGGGGGCACCGCAGCCAUCUUGCGAGUUACCUCCUGAGAGUUGGGCAAAGAUCAGUAAGAUCCCUCUGCUGUGGCUGCCAGCAAGUCUGUGCCUGAUUUGAUGAAAUUCUGAAAAGGAAUAUCUAUUGUCACAUUAUUCUCCUUCAGUCCGGAACGGUUCCUCCUUCUUUCUCUGGCUCUGGAUCUGCAUCCCUGACAGUCUUAAAGAGGACAGACCUUUCAUUCAUGAGGACGACCCUCAACUUGGCUCAGUCAAUGUUUCCUCAGCCUCAAGCCUUGCAUUCUUGGCAGAAAGACUGAAGAAAUGAUGCUGUGCUCUUCUCAGUGCUUCAGCUAAAUAUACUUCUCAUUGUGUUGCUCCAAAUCGGACUGCCUUACCGGUUUUCAGCACUGUCCUCCUACGUGGGAAUCACCCAGGAGGUGUGGGGCAGGACAUCUGCCAUAUGAGGGUCGUAUGACCUACUCUCAGGAGAGGUGCUGUGUUUUGGAGUAGUGUGUCCUGUACCUGUCACCUUUAACAAACAAUUACUGAGCACAUACUGGGUGCCAGAUACUCUGCCAGGCUCUGAGAGGACAGAAAUGCAUAACACACAAUUCCUGCUCUCCAGGAGGCCUUUCAAGAAGAAGAGAGUAGAAAAAAUUCACACAUUGCCCCCAUCCCAAAAUGACAUCAAUCUGAAGAAAGGAAAAGAAAAAGAUGCCGAAAGUAUCUGGAAGAUUCCAUUAUUAUCAGGAUGACUCACAACAUUUAAUAAUUACUUGUUUUUGUUUUGUUUUGUAUGCCCAUGUUUUACAUGAUGUGACCUUUUGCUGCCCUGUACUAUCAUAAAUUGCAUCUUUCUGAAGGCAGUUCUCAGUAAGUUUGUGUCCAUGAGUAUGUGGUAGCACUUCAGCUUAUGGGCAUUGCCUUAAAGAAGCAACUGGAGCUGUCAACAAUCUGUUGUGAGGUCCUCAACUAGCUCAUUUGUUAAAUAGCUUGAGGACAAAUAUUCUUGGCUGGA